GUUGUAUGGUUAAGUGACUAAGCGUACACGGUGGAUGCCUGGGCAGUCAGAGGCGAUGAAGGACGUACUAACUUGCGAUAAGCGCAGAUAAGGCAGUAAGAGCCGUUUGAGUCUGCGAUUUCCGAAUGGGGAAACCCAACUGCAUAAGCAGUUACUGUUAACUGAAUACAUAGGUUAACAGAGCAAACCGGGGGAACUGAAACAUCUAAGUACCCCGAGGAGAAGAAAUCAACCGAGAUUCCGGUAGUAGCGGCGAGCGAACCUGGAUUAGCCCUUAAGCACUCGGUGAAGUAGGUGAACAAGCUGGAAAGCUUGGCGAUACAGGGUGAUAGCCCCGUAACCGACGCUUCAUCGAGCGUGAAAUCGAGUAGGGCGGGACACGUGAUAUCCUGUCUGAAUAUGGGGGGACCAUCCUCCAAGGCUAAAUACUCCUGACUGACCGAUAGUGAACCAGUACCGUGAGGGAAAGGCGAAAAGAACCCCUGUGAGGGGAGUGAAAUAGAACCUGAAACCGUGUACGUACAAGCAGUAGGAGCACCUUCGUGGUGUGACUGCGUACCUUUUGUAUAAUGGGUCAGCGACUUAUAUUCAGUGGCAAGGUUAACCGUAUAGGGGAGCCGUAGCG
RNAcentral lists this ribosomal RNA (625 nucleotides) under Vibrio cholerae. Its description in RNAcentral is "partial 23S ribosomal RNA". It matches the Rfam family "Bacterial large subunit ribosomal RNA", at positions 1 to 673 of the family's 2925-position model. The record is from RNAcentral. Lineage: Bacteria; Pseudomonadati; Pseudomonadota; Gammaproteobacteria; Vibrionales; Vibrionaceae.